UUCACAUCAUGAAAAAUACAAAAUGUCCUUUUACAAUUUACUCCAAUUUCAGGUUAAGGAGCCUCUAUAUAUGGAAAAGUGGAAAGGAAGGCGAAAAGUAUCAAUCCUUUUACAUGGGACUGAUUGUAUGUUCUACCUGUAGAUGCUGCUGCAACUGCAACCAGAGAUAUGGGGAAGCAUCUCUAAUGCCUCUUCAUUUUUUG
RNAcentral lists this unclassified non-coding RNA (203 nucleotides) under Hevea brasiliensis (rubber tree). The record is from RNAcentral. Lineage: Eukaryota; Viridiplantae; Streptophyta; Magnoliopsida; Malpighiales; Euphorbiaceae.